This 494-nucleotide ribosomal RNA is filed under the name uncultured bacterium. RNAcentral describes it as "partial 16S ribosomal RNA". It matches the Rfam family "Bacterial small subunit ribosomal RNA", at positions 28 to 507 of the family's 1533-position model. The record is from RNAcentral.
GACGAACGCUGGCGGCGUGCUUAACACAUGCAAGUCGAACGGUGAAGCGCCUUCCUUUUUGGUGGGUGUGGAUGAGUGGCGAACGGGUGAGUAACACGUGAGUAACCUGCCCCCUUCUUCUGGAUAACCGCAUGAAAGUGUGGCUAAUACGGGAUAUUCUGGGUCUGUCGCAUGAUGGGUCUGGGAAAGAUAUUGUUUCGGUGGGGGAUGGGCUCGCGGCCUAUCAGCUUGUUGGUGGGGUGAUGGCCUACCAAGGCGGUGACGGGUAGCCGGCCUGGGAGGGUGGACGGUCACACUGGGACUGAGACACGGCCCAGACUCCUACGGGAGGCAGCAGUGGGGAAUAUUGCACAAUGGGCGCAAGCCUGAUGCAGCGGCGCCGCGUGAGGGAUGGAGGCCUUCGGGUUGUGAACCUCUUUCGCCAGUGAAGCAGGCCUGCCUCGUUUGUGGGUGGGUUGACGGUAGCUGGAUAAGAAGCGCCGGCUAACUACGUG